RNAcentral lists this unclassified non-coding RNA (146 nucleotides) under uncultured Hyaloscyphaceae. RNAcentral describes it as "sequence contains ITS2". The record is from RNAcentral. Lineage: Eukaryota; Fungi; Ascomycota; Leotiomycetes; Helotiales.
CAACCCUCAAGCUCUGCUUGGUAUUGGGCGUCACCCUCUGGGGUGCGCCUUAAAAUCAGUGGCGGUGCCACUCGGCUUCAAGCGUAGUAAUUCUUCUCGCUCUGGAGGACCGGGUGUGUUCUAGCCAGCAACCCCCAAUUUUUUAA